RNAcentral lists this ribosomal RNA (254 nucleotides) under uncultured bacterium. RNAcentral's name for it is "partial 16S ribosomal RNA". It matches the Rfam family "Bacterial small subunit ribosomal RNA", at positions 524 to 776 of the family's 1533-position model. The record is from RNAcentral.
UACGGAGGGGGCAAGCGUUGUUCGGAAUUACUGGGCGUAAAGGGCGCGCAGGCGGUCGUUCAAGUCGCGUGUGAAAGCCCCCGGCUCAACUGGGGAGGGUCACGCGAUACUGAUCGACUCGAAGGCAGGAGAGGGUAGUGGAAUUCCCGGUGUAGUGGUGAAAUGCGUAGAUAUCGGGAGGAACACCAGUGGCGAAGGCGACUACCUGGCCUGUUUCUUGACGCUGAGGCGCGAAAGCUAGGGGAGCAAACGGG